GGUAUAUUUCUCAGAUGAGGUCUCUCUUCUGUUUUUGCUUUUCUGUCACAGGAUUUGAAUUUCUGAUCUCUCUGUGUAUGUUUGUCCAAGAAGCGAGGGGUCUUCCAUUUGGGGUUAUAUGUCCCCAUUUGUUCGAUCCCUGGCCUCACUCAGUGGGUGAAGUAUCUGGCAUUGCUGUGAGCUGUGGUGUAGGCCACAGACAUGGCUCGGAUUUGGGGUGCCUGUGGCUGUGGUGUAGGCCGGCACCUAUAGCGCUGAUUCGACCCCUAGCCCAGGAACCUCUACAUACCGCAGGUGCAGCCCUAAAAAGAGAAAAAGAAAAAAGAAUGUAUACAUAUGGGUAGGACUCAGUCACUUUGCUGUACAACAGAAAUUGACAUAACAUUGUAAAUCAAAACUAUACUUUAAAAAAAGAGGUCCUUUGUAGAUGCGAUUGGAGUUCCCUGGUGGCUCAGUAGGUUAAGGAUCUGGUUUAUCACUGCUAUGGCUUGGGUUGCUGCUGUGGCGCAGGUUCAGCCCAUGGCCCUGGAAGUUCCAUACGCUGCAGGUGUGGCCAAAAGAAAAACGUCCUUUGUAGUUGUGAUUAAGCAAAUCACCUUGAGAUGGAGGAGAUUAUCCUGAAUUUUUCAGGUGAGCAGAGUGUAAUGACAAAAGUCCUUGCAGAAGGCAGGAUAGUCAAAGAAGCAGAUGUGAUGACCAAAAUAGAGAUCAGAAAGAGAUGUGAGGAGUUCCCGUUGUGGCGCAGUGGUUAACGAAUCCGACUAGGAACCAUGAGGUUGCGGGUUCGGUCCCUGCCCUUGCUCAGUGGGUUAACGAUCUGGCGUUGCCGUGAACUGUGGUGUAGGUUGCAGACACGGCUCGGAUCCUGAGUUGCUGUGGCUCUGGCGUAGGCCGGUGGCUACAGCUCCGAUUCAACCCCUAGCCUGGGAACCUCCAUAUGCCGCGGGAGCGGCCCAAGAAAUAGCAACAACAACAACAACAAAACAACAACAACAAAAAAAAAAAAAAAAAGAGAUGUGAGAGCGAAACACUGCCAGUUUUGAAGAUGGAGGAAGGGGCCAGGAGCUAAGGAUUGCAGGCAGCUUUAGAAACUGGAAAAGACAGAGUUCCCAUCAUGGCUCAGGGGUUAACGAAUCUGACUAGGAACCAUUGAGGUUGUGGGUUCGAUCCCUGACCUCGCUCAGUGGGUGAAGGAUCCAGCGUUGCCGUGAGCUGUGGUGUAGGUCGCAGACACAGCUUGGAUCUGGCGUUGCUGUGGCUGUGGUGUAGGCUGGUGGCUGCAUCUCCGAUUAGACCCCUAGACUGGGAACCUCCAUGUGCUCCAGGAAAGACAG
Molecule: long non-coding RNA, 1334 nt
Filed under: Sus scrofa (pig)
Lineage: Eukaryota; Metazoa; Chordata; Mammalia; Artiodactyla; Suidae
Description: lncRNA (ENSSSCG00000049365.1)
Source: RNAcentral